GGCGAGGUAGUUUAUGUGAAUACCUGAUUUGCAUUUAGGAGGUUCCAAAUUUUGGACUUCGUUA
This 64-nucleotide transfer RNA is filed under the name Cypridina dentata. Its description in RNAcentral is "tRNA-Ala". Lineage: Eukaryota; Metazoa; Arthropoda; Ostracoda; Myodocopida; Cypridinidae. The record is from RNAcentral.